RNAcentral lists this long non-coding RNA (317 nucleotides) under Vitis vinifera (wine grape). Its description in RNAcentral is "long non-coding RNA (VVIN_LNC005376)". Lineage: Eukaryota; Viridiplantae; Streptophyta; Magnoliopsida; Vitales; Vitaceae. The record is from RNAcentral.
AACUCAACCUAUAAUAAGAGUUGUCAAAGCAUUCACUUGAUCAUAGAGUACAAAGAAUGGAUAUUAUGCAAGUUUAAGCAUCAAAAGAAUUUCCACUCUCAAAAGAUCCAAAUCAAAUUCUUCCACUAAAAGCUAAGUGUUAAUGUGAUUAGCUUCCGAGUAUAGUAUGGAUAACUAUCAUCUCCCCCCAACCUAAGUCUUUCUUUAAGCUUAGCAAAAUUAACCAUCUCUUGAUAGGCUAGGAACACACCUCUUAUUCACAAUUCUUUUCACUUACUAAACUUAACCAAUUCACCCAUGUAACAAGCAGAGGAUCG